AUGGACAGCUCAGGAGGCUUUUUGGCUGAGGGAAGCUGGAUUGUUUAUGUCAGGGGAAGGAAGUCUGAGAAGGAAGCGUGUGGCUCUCCAGGGCUAAGUACAAUGAGGCUUAUCGCAGGCAGAGUUAAUUCGCAUGCAGUCUGGAUGAUGUGUGCAAGAGAGCCGAUAAGACAACAUGGUUAAUUAACUGGAACCCAGCUGAGCCUGGCGUCAGCAGAGACGCUGCGGCAGGAAAAGAGCAGUGGAAGUCAGCUUUGCAUCGAGGGAAGGAGAGAAAGAAGAAAGAAAGAGGACUUGCUGGGGCUUCUAAUGGAGAGUAAAUGGCUGCUUUCACACAACAUCCUUCUGCUUCUUAAACUAUCUGAGAAAUUUUGCAAUGAUCGAAGCGGCACUCCUAGGAAUUUUCAUUGGUUCUAAUUCAAGAGGAACAGUCAAUAUCCAAAUCAUGAUCAGAAGCCAGAGUCUGAUCUCCGUUAUGAUGUCCCAUCAUGAACACCCCUUCUCCUUCCCCUCCCCUGAUGGACAGCAGUAUUCUGGGACACAGCUUCCUCUCUCUUGAACGAACCUCUUGGAGAAGACCUCCCCACUCAAUUUCUCAAGCCUAUAGAGCUCUGUUCCCACUAGAGCAGUUUUAUCUUCGGACAUGAUGUGCAGAUGUGGUUUUGGACCUUUUAAGUCAAUCAUUGAUAAGAAGUAAGGUUUCUGUCAAUGAGUCACCCCAGGACACUUCCUAGGCCUUUCCUGAUCAAUAUUUCUCUUCAUUUCCUCCUGCCCUGAAAAAAUGGAUGAUGUUGGGAAUUGGGCUUUCUUCUUGGAAGCUUCAACCCUGCUAUCUCACCAAGGACUGCCUCUUUUGGCUAGUACAAUGGUGCCACAAUGAGCCACUUCAUCCAUCUUUAUCACGCUCAUCUUUUGGGGUGCUGGGUAAAGCAAAAAGCCAGUUUGGUCUAGUGGUGAAGGCACCAGGAUAGAAAGCAGGAAACCAUGAGGUCAAAUUCUACUUUAAAGCAAUGAAAGCUGACUGGGUAACUUUGGGCCAAUCACAAGGAGACUUGUGAGUUCUAGAACAGCCUUAGGCAUGAAAGCUGGUGACUUUGGGCCAGUCACUCUCUGCCCAACCUUCCUUACCCUUCCCCAGAUGGUACCAACCAAAUAGCAAUUUUCAGCUGCCUGUUUUUACUUAAUUCUACUUAAAAACCAGAACAAGCAACCAAAUCAAAGUGGCAACGCCUCUGGUAGUCGAAACAUGCCCAACUUCGGAGUUGUUCAGGAUGAAAGGUGUUUCAUCCCUGCUCCUUCAACACAUUCCUGCUUGCCUUUUGCAGUUGCCAAGAAACAAUAAAGAAAACACAAACUCUAGCUACAAAAAAGGCUGCUCUGCUGGCCCUCCGCACCUCACCCUACCACCGUCCCCCCCAUCAUAAAGACCCAGCAAUGUUGGCAUCUUUGGGAUGACUCUGCCCUCCUGAGCUACCUUGGGGUCUUCCUCCAGGAAGGAGGAGACCUUUCGAAACUGCCCCAGUUCCCUUAAUCUCAACCUUUUUAGCAGCUUGGAAACACACAACACACAGCUCCCUGCCCACAGACUGCCAGCUCCCAAGAAAUACCCAUCUUUCCCCCCCCCCACUCACACACAUUGAUGUCCGCCCAGCACGUGCCAAUUUUAAGCGGGAGUUGCCCUUAAUUGUCCUACUUGGGGGAGGGGGCAACUGCUGAUGGCAAUGAAUCAUUUCAAAAUGGGCCCAGGCAGAGGGGAGAUAUUGCACCUGCCUCUCCCGUGACCUUUGCUCUCUAGCUGCCAAUCAUCAUCGUGGCAAGUUGCCAGGGAAACUGAGACAUCUCCCCCCCCCUUCUUUUUUCAUCCAGAGUACAUGAAUGGCCUUGGAGGAGCAAUUAUCUAUA
This is a long non-coding RNA of Crotalus tigris (Tiger rattlesnake), 1902 nucleotides long. RefSeq lists it as uncharacterized. The transcript is spliced from 4 exons. The record is from RefSeq and is a predicted model, not a curated record. Lineage: Eukaryota; Metazoa; Chordata; Lepidosauria; Squamata; Viperidae.